UGGGGAAUAUUGCACAAUGGAGGGAACUCUGAUGCAGCGACGCCGCGUGAACGAAGAAGGCUUUCGAGUCGUAAAGUUCUUUUAUAUGGGAAGAUAAUGACGGUACCAUAAGAAAAAGCCCCGGCUAACUACGUGCCAGCAGCCGCGGUAAUACGUAGGGGGCUAGCGUUGUCCGGAAUCACUGGGCGUAAAGGGUUCGCAGGCGGAAAUGCAAGUCAGGUGUAAAAGGCAGUAGCUUAACUACUGUAAGCAUUUGAAACUGCAUAUCUUGAGAAGAGUAGAGGUAAGUGGAAUUUUUAGUGUAGCGGUGAAAUGCGUAGAUAUUAAAAAGAAUACCGGUGGCGAAGGCGACUUACUGGGCUCAUUCUGACGCUGAGGAACGUAAGCGUGGGUAGCAAACAGG
RNAcentral lists this ribosomal RNA (403 nucleotides) under bacterium. RNAcentral's name for it is "partial 16S ribosomal RNA". It matches the Rfam family "Bacterial small subunit ribosomal RNA", at positions 355 to 776 of the family's 1533-position model. The record is from RNAcentral.